Molecule: long non-coding RNA, 807 nt
Filed under: Homo sapiens (human)
Lineage: Eukaryota; Metazoa; Chordata; Mammalia; Primates; Hominidae
Description: HSALNT0212861
Source: RNAcentral
UCUCGGGUGAGAUCACCACGGAGCGGCUUAGCGCGGCGCACAAGUCUCGCGAGAGAAGCGGCGGCUGGGCCCUGCAGGCGGAGGAAGUGGAAAAAGUCGCGGGAGGGUAGGGGACCGCGGAACUUCUGGUUGCUAUGACGACGGCAAAGCCCUGGAUUCCUGUCUCCUGCGGAGAGCAGAGGCUGCAAACGGCAUUCAAGCAGCCCUGAGGAGAGGUCCACAUGGUGAGCCACUGAGGGCCUUGCCAAGAGCCAGCACCAACGGUCCAGGUUUGGAGUGUACCACCUUGGAAGUGAAUCUUCCAGUCCAGUCAAGCCUUCAGAUGACUUCAGAACCGUCCAUGUAAGCCACUCUUGGAUUCCUGACCCACAGAAACUGUUGGAGGCAUUAUCAACAGUUUCUAACAUCACAGACAGACAAACAUGUGCCUCCUGAUUGAAAAAACAGAACAUCACCUGUAGUCUUGCCAGUGAGAUCAAACUGAAGUCCAAUUAACCUCUGGAUCCAGCUGCCAAUUUGCAGGAAAUAGAGGAGAGAAGCAUCUGUUGAACUGCACCAUGAGUAUACACUCAGCAAAGGCCAAACUGUGGAAAAUGAUACAGGUCAAACAGCCUGGAUUCUUUAACAGUAAGUGAUGUUUCUGAAGCACCAAUGAAAAUGAAGUCCUGAAGUCCUGUGCUCAAUAUGAAAUGUUGGAAGUUAGAAGAAAAAAACAAAACUUGGAUCCAAUCUCAAGGCACUUUUUGUUUAAUGGGAAGAAGUGGAUUAUUUUAAAAGCUACAAAUAAAGUUACAUAAAAGUAGCAAA